CUACGGGUGGCUCCAGUGAGGAAUAUUGCACAAUGGGGGGAACCCUGAUGCAGCAACGCCGCGUGGAGGAUGACGCAUUUCGGUGUGUAAACUCCUUUUAUAUGUCAAGAAAAUGACGGUAGCAUAUGAAUAAGCACCGGCUAACUCCGUGCCAGCAGCCGCGGUAAUACGGAGGGUGCAAGCGUUACUCGGAAUCACUGGGCGUAAAGGACGCGUAGGCGGGUUGGAAAGUCAGGUGUGAAAUCCUACAGCUUAACUGUAGAACUGCACUUGAAACUUAUAAUCUAGAGUAUGGGAAGGGGUGAUGGAAUUAGUGGUGUAGGGGUAAAAUCCGUAGAUAUCACUAGGAAUACCUAAAGCGAAGGCGAUCUCCUGGAACAUUACUGACGCUAAGGCGUGAAAGCGUGGGGAGCAAACAGGAUUAGAUACCCGAGUAGUC
This 439-nucleotide ribosomal RNA is filed under the name uncultured bacterium. RNAcentral describes it as "partial 16S ribosomal RNA". It matches the Rfam family "Bacterial small subunit ribosomal RNA", at positions 339 to 795 of the family's 1533-position model. The record is from RNAcentral.